AGUGAACGCUGGUGGCGUGCUUAACACAUGCAAGUCGAACGAGACGAUUGAAAGCUUGCUUUUAAAAGUCGAGUGGCAAACGGGUGAGUAACGCGUAGACAACCUGCCUUUGAGAUGGGGACAACAGUUCGAAAGGACUGCUAAUACCGAAUGUUGUAUAUUUUCCACAUGGAAGAUAUAUUAAAGAUGGCCUCUAUUUAUAAGUUAUCGCUCAAAGAUGGGUCUGCGUCUGAUUAGCUGGUUGGUGGGGUAACGGCCUACCAAGGCGACGAUCAGUAGCCGGUCUGAGAGGAUGAACGGCCACAUUGGGACUGAGACACGGCCCAGACUCCUACGGGAGGCAGCAGUGGGGAAUCUUCCACAAUGGACGAAAGUCUGAUGGAGCAACGCCGCGUGAGUGAAGAAGGGUUUCGGCUCGUAAAGCUCUGUUGUCGGGGACGAAUGUGCAGUAUUUGAAUAAAGUACUGCAAUGACGGUACCUGACGAGGAAGCCACGGCUAACUACGUGCCAGCAGCCGCAGUAA
This 524-nucleotide ribosomal RNA is filed under the name uncultured bacterium. RNAcentral describes it as "partial 16S ribosomal RNA". It matches the Rfam family "Bacterial small subunit ribosomal RNA", at positions 29 to 523 of the family's 1533-position model. The record is from RNAcentral.